AAAAUAAAAAAGAUAAAAAAAAAUACAACCAUGAAAAAUCUCAAAAUUGUGUUUGGAUUUACAAUAAUUUUUAUCAUCUUAGCAAAUGCUAUUGGAGCAAAUAUUAGUAUAAGUAAAAUAACUUGCAAAGGCUUAUGUAGACUUACAUGUAUAAGUUCUACUCAACUUGAUUUUUGCAUUGAUGUAUGCAUGAAAAGAUGCACAAUUCAUAGUGUUUAUGAAGCUAUGAUCAAUAACACUAGUUGUUAUGAGCAAUGCUCCAACACCUUCUCAGAUGAAAAGAAAAUGGGAGGCUGCUAUGAUGAUUGCACAGCCAAAUAUAACAAGUCAAAAAGGAGUAAUGUAACUAAUGUUUAAUGUCCACCAUCAAAUCAAUCAAAUAUGAAAUAAUAAUUAUGUUAUGAUAUGAAGAACUA
Molecule: long non-coding RNA, 416 nt
Organism: Solanum pennellii
Lineage: Eukaryota; Viridiplantae; Streptophyta; Magnoliopsida; Solanales; Solanaceae
Exons: 2
Source: RefSeq, a predicted model, not a curated record